GGGUGGAGGGGUUGAAGGGAGGGCAGGGGAAUGGGUAAAGAAUAAGAACCAAGAGAGAUUAUGUAAUGGUGCAUAUUUCCAAUGAUGAAUGUCAUUAUAUUGUAUACUUAAAAUGUACCAAUAAAAUUCAUUUUUUUAAAAAAAGUGUGCAUGGCAUCCUAGAGGGCUGUGCCAGGGUAUUGCCUAUGAGCUGGUGCUUCAGCUAUGGGUGCAAAAGGCAGUUCCAGCUGGUGUGCUGUCAUCAGUGGAUUUUAUGGCCUGUGACUCAUUUCUAUAACUCAGCAGGCUGGCCCACUCCUAUUUUUCUCUCAUUAUAAUGGCAUUUACCUGGUUUCCAAUAAGAGUUAAGACUGCCACCUUGUCUCUAUGAUUUUAGGGUCCUAUGACCCUCGUAUAUCUAGAAUGUCUGAUACAUGGAUACAUCAUGCCCACUGGUAUCCACUCUUCUCUUCUGGUUCAUCACUGGUGAAAGUCCAACUAGUUGCACAUCAGGAGGAGAUAUGUUGUUCCGCCUUAUAGGCAGCCAGGUUUAGAAGCGGGCAGGCUGGAGGCAAGGAGACAAGAACCUCUUAUGUGAGAGCCAUGGCAGUGGAAAUGGAAAGCAGCUGUGUUGCUACAGGGCUACGGAACCCAGCUGUCUGCAGAGAACGUGGUGGGUCACGAGAUCUGAGGCUGGACUUUCUUCUGGAGACCAGAGACUUAGGGUCCUAAAUCCUUAUCAUUCUGUCUUGAAAUACAAGUGUACAAAUACUUGCCCAAGGAUGCUGCUCAUUCAGCACUUUUAAAGUACUGAACAAUUGGAAACCCUUCUGUGCACCACUAGGCAGCUCUUUAUCAAUAUGGAAUGUCAAGCCUAAAGUUCUAUGCACAAUAUAAUGCCUUUCAUGUAAAAAACCUUCCCCUGGAUUUCCAUUGAUAGGUAAUAAAUUAAAUGCACACAUAUCCAAUUUCAUGCAUCCCAUAUUCUUCUAAACCUUCAGCAAGGGGAUUUGUUUCUUCUCAAAAGAUAAAUUCACGAGAGAGAAGAGAACUGAAGAGGAGACAACAGGAAAACAGCAAUAAUUUUCAAGUGGGAUACUUUCACCUGUGUGGCAGCUUUGAGUGACAGCCUCUCUCUGAUCUCGGCACCCACUCGUAGGCUUGUUCCUUGGAGAGAAGCAAGACCUUCUGCAUUUAGGCCAUCAGGCCCUUUAAAUGUUGAUGGUGCCAUGCUGGCAGGAAAAGAGGAUGCUGUGAUUCUUAGCCCCUUCCCCACAUGACUUGAUUCCCACCUGCUGGCUUUCAAGCCUUCACUCUUCAGGAAGGAGGUUGAAUCUGAGGAGAUAAGGAAAGACCCAAAGAUGCUGGGAACAGAGGUGACCAGUAAGUGACCUAAUCAGGCCAGCCCUCAG
Molecule: long non-coding RNA, 1391 nt
Filed under: Heterocephalus glaber (naked mole-rat)
Lineage: Eukaryota; Metazoa; Chordata; Mammalia; Rodentia; Bathyergidae
Description: lncRNA (ENSHGLG00000043411.1)
Source: RNAcentral